GGAUUCCCCUAGUAACUGCGAGUGAAGCGGGAAAAGCUCAAAUUUAAAAUCUGGCGGUCUUUGGCCGUCCGAGUUGUAGUCUGGAGAAGUGCUUUCCGCGCUGGACCGUGUAUAAGUCUCUUGGAACAGAGCGUCAUAGAGGGUGAGAAUCCCGUCUUUGACACGGACUACCAGUGCUUUGUGAUGCGCUCUCAAAGAGUCGCGUUGUUUGGGAAUGCAGCGCAAAAUGGGUGGUGAAUUCCAUCUAAAGCUAAAUAUUGGCGAGAGACCGAUAGCGAACAAGUACCGUGAGGGAAAGAUGAAAAGCACUUUGGAAAGAGAGUUAAACAGUACGUGAAAUUGCUGAAAGGGAAACGCUUGAAGUCAGUCGCGUUGUCCGGGACUCAGCCUUGCUUCGGCUUGGUGCACUUCCCGGAUGACGGGCCAGCAUCGAUUUUGACCGCUGGAAAAGGGCUGGAGGAAUGUGGCACCUUCGGGUGUGUUAUAGCCUUCAGUCGCAUACGGCGGUUGGGAUCGAGGAACGCAGCACGCCUUUAUGGCGGGGGGUUAGCUCACCUUCGUGCUUAGGAUGCUGGCAUAAUGGCUUUAAACGACCCGUCUUGAAACACGGACCAAGGAGUCUAACAUGCCUGCGAGUGUUUGGGUGGAAAACCCGAGCGCGUAAUGAAAGUGAAAG
Molecule: ribosomal RNA, 676 nt
Filed under: Trametes cinnabarina
Lineage: Eukaryota; Fungi; Basidiomycota; Agaricomycetes; Polyporales; Polyporaceae
Description: eukaryotic LSU rRNA
Rfam family: Eukaryotic large subunit ribosomal RNA
Source: RNAcentral